CCAGCAGCUGCGGUAAUUCCAGCUCCAAUAGCGUAUAUUAAAGUUGUUGCAGUUAAAACGCUCGUAGUCUGAGGUUGCGCCAGCCGGAGCGGUGCAAGCGAUUGCGCUGCGGCGGGGGGCGCUUGUUGGGCAGGCCUUUGCGGGCGUGUCCGGGUUUACUUUGAGGAAAUUAGGGUGUUCAAAGCAGGCGAUGCGCUUGGAUACUGCAGCAUGGAAUAAUGGAAUAGGACUCGCGUCUUAUUGUGUUGGUUUGGGGACUGUGAGUAAUGAUUAAUAGGGACAGUUGGGGGCAUUGGUAUUCAGUAGUCAGAGGUGAAAUUCUUGGAUUUACUGAAGACUAACUAGUGCGA
This 350-nucleotide ribosomal RNA is filed under the name uncultured eukaryote. RNAcentral's name for it is "SSU rRNA". It matches the Rfam family "Eukaryotic small subunit ribosomal RNA", at positions 567 to 948 of the family's 1831-position model. The record is from RNAcentral.